Paramormyrops kingsleyae is the source of this 1203-nucleotide long non-coding RNA. RefSeq lists it as uncharacterized. Lineage: Eukaryota; Metazoa; Chordata; Actinopteri; Osteoglossiformes; Mormyridae. The record is from RefSeq and is a predicted model, not a curated record.
GCGUGGGUGUUCGCCUCAAACGCAUUAGCCACGCAGCUACCCGGUGCAGCUCGUGUUCGUGGCCAUCCAACACAAAUGUCCCUUACGUCGACUCGCAAAUACGCAGCGCCUUGGAAAUUACUGAUCGCACCUCGUCAUCAGCACCUGCGGCUGACCGAGCAGACGGGAGGUGCCAGUGGGCAUGCGCAGCGCGCUUCGACGGCGCCGCGACUGCAAGCGAAGAUGGUGCCCGAGUAACCGACGAGACACUCCCCCUUUAGCGUCGGCGUAAAAGGCAUCAUUCCAGCAGUCAAAAGUGAACCAAGUAUUUUCCUCAUCCCAGUAAAUUUAUGCACAAAGCAUUACUCCUGGCGUAGACUGAGGGGCCACCAAGGGACACCCCCCCCCCCCAAGCCGAGAGAAUAAUGACAGUGACGACGGCCACCACCAUGGACUCCUUCUUCUGUCCUCACCUCUGUGUCCAUGGAAUCCUCCCCCAGCCUGAAGCAUCUCAAGGGGGGGGGGGGCCUUCCAAGUGCCGGUCUCCAUGGCGUUGUGCUUUGCCACCCCCUCCCCCACCCCCUCUGUCCUGAUAUAUGUGCACAAGUCAUCGUACCAUAACCAGCAUGGGACUCUGCUUAAGAAACUGCAGAGGAACAUGUGUGUCCAGACCUGAGCACAAAGUGUUGAGCGUAUGUGUUCUUCACUCUCCUCAGUCACUCCCAAAGCACACAGGCUGAGUGCCGGGUGCAAGUUAGGGUGCCUGGGCUAAGGCCUGAUUCACGUAGGCAAAUUCUGCUCGGGAUUGACCUCGUCUGCACAAAUCAGUAUUGCAUCAUACAUAUCAUGAAAGAAUUGUCAUUGCCAUUUUAGUGUAUCCACUUAGGUUGGUAAUAAAAUUGAUGUCACACAAGAGUAAUGAUGGAAUAUUUUAACACUAACAUUUGACUACUUAACAGAAGUUUAAUCGGAGUCAUCUGGCACGCAUUACAGGCUACUUUUACAUAUGUAAUAAAAAGGACUGUUUUCUCUGUGUUCCUUUGCUGCCGGGUCUGGUCGUUCCACCUUCGUCUUAAGCGUUGCCCUCAGUCCAAGCUGCGAUUGGAACGAUGCCAGAUCAGCGCCUCAUAAUGGAGACGGGCCCCUCCAAUAGCGUCACGCACACGUACGCUUGCAUAUCCAUGGCUCUCCUUUUAUAGCAAUGGGAGCUGUUGACUGAUUGCU